CCUCGCCGCCGCCCGCCCUGCCCUGGCUCCUGGCCGCCUGCUGCCUCUGCGCCCUCCCGCGGGGCUCAGGGUUCCCGCAGCCUUUCUCUCGCCACCGGGACGGCGUGGAGCUGCCCCCGAACCAGCAACUGGCUCUGUGUUUCAGUCAGUGGAUGGAAAUGUCCGAUCAACCCCAGAUCUCCAGCACUGUUUUGGAUCUCUGUUAUUCCAUAUUCAACAGCAUGCAUAAAAAUAAGGAAUCACAGACUGCUUCUGCAAAGUUUUCAAAGAAGGACAGUCAUGGAACUCUGGGGCGGCCUUUCUUC
Ficedula albicollis (Collared flycatcher) is the source of this 305-nucleotide long non-coding RNA. RefSeq lists it as uncharacterized. The transcript has 6 exons. NCBI's taxonomy places the organism in Eukaryota, Metazoa, Chordata, Aves, Passeriformes, Muscicapidae. The record is from RefSeq and is a predicted model, not a curated record.